CAAUAGCGUAUAUUAAAGUUGUUGCAGUUAAAAAGCUCGUAGUUGGAUUUCUGGUGGGAGCGACCGGUCGGCGCUUAACGGCGUGUGCACUGGAGUUGUCUCUUGCCAUCCUUGAGGAGAACGUGUCUGGCAUUAAGUUGUCGGGCUUGGGAUCCUCAUCGUUUACUGUGAAAAAAUUAGAGUGUUUAAAGCAGGCAUUUGCUGUGAAUACAUUAGCAUGGAAUAAUAAGAUAGGACUUUGGUGCUAUUUUGUUGGUUUGCGUCCCAAGGUAAUGAUUAAUAGGGAUAGUUGGGGGUAUUCGUAUUCAAUUGUCAGAGGUGAAAUUCUUGGAUUUAUGGAAGACGAACAACUGCGAAAGCAUUUACCAAGGAUGUUUUCAUUAA
This 384-nucleotide ribosomal RNA is filed under the name uncultured eukaryote. RNAcentral's name for it is "partial 18S ribosomal RNA". It matches the Rfam family "Eukaryotic small subunit ribosomal RNA", at positions 592 to 976 of the family's 1831-position model. The record is from RNAcentral.